GACGAACGCUGGCGGCGUGCCUAAUACAUGCAAGUCGAACGCUGAAGAGAGGAGCUUGCUCUUCUUGGUUGAGUUGCGAACGGGUGAGUAACGCGUAGGUAACCUGCCUGGUAGCGGGGGAUAACUAUUGGAAACGAUAGCUAAUACCGCAUAAAAUGGAUUAUCGCAUGAUAAUCCAUUGAAAGGUGCAAAUGCAUCACUACCAGAUGGACCUGCGUUGUAUUAGCUAGGUGGUGGGGUAACUGCUCACCCAGCCGACGAUACAUAGCCGACCUGAGAGGCGGAUAUGCAAAGCUGGUAUGGGAGCAUGCCCCGCACCCCUACGGGUGGGACCCGGAGGGGAUCUUUGGCAGUGGACGGAAGGGUGACCGUGCAACGCCGGGUGAGUGAAGAAGGUAGUCAGAUCGUAAAGCUGUGGAAUAAGUGAAGGUUGUAUGGGUGAUUUGAAAGUGCACACAGUGACGGUAUCGGACCAGAAAGCGACGGCUAACUACGUG
RNAcentral lists this ribosomal RNA (497 nucleotides) under uncultured bacterium. RNAcentral's name for it is "partial 16S ribosomal RNA". It matches the Rfam family "Bacterial small subunit ribosomal RNA", at positions 28 to 507 of the family's 1533-position model. The record is from RNAcentral.